GGUAAUAUAGAUACAAAUUUAAGGGGUUACUUUAAGUUUUUUAAAUAAUAGUGGUAGGCAAUUCGGUUGCAAAUUAUGGGGUUAUUUUAAAUAUUUUUUAUAAUGGCAUAAAUGGGUAAUUUUGAUGAAUAUUAGAGGUUACUUUAGUUUAUUUUAUAUAAUGGCAGAGGUGGGUAAUUUAUAUAUAAAUUUAGGGGGUUACUUUAGGCUAUUUUUAUAAUAGCAUAGGUGGGUAAUUUUUUAUAAAACAUAAUAGAUCCAAUGGCUAUAAUGAUUUGAAUCUAUUGAUUGAUGGUCGGAUGUUUUGCUUUUUUGUAAGAAUUUCUAGAAUUUCUCUCUUUUUCUAGAAUGUCCACCUAGGAAUCCUAGGUGGCUUCACCUGGAGGCUUCAAAAGGAACCUCCAAUUAGUAAUAGUAAGAUGUGGGAUCCUUAUGGGAUGGUCAUGGUUGAUGGAGAGAAAAGAAGUCGGGGUGAAGAAAUGGGUUGCUAGAUCACUUGAUUUGACGGCCUAAAAUUUAGGACACGUCUAUACAGGCUACCAUCCGAUUCUACUUCUACAAGUGGGCCAUGAUCAAUCAAAAUAAAAUAAAUAUGAUGGACAGAUGGGUUGUUUGAUCUCAUGGAAUCGAUGGCUUAAAAUUUAGGAGAUGCAAUAGGCUAUGGUCGGACGCUACAGGAGAGUUGUGAUUGUUCCAUAGAAAAGCUUGGAUAAAGUGGGCUGGAAAAAUGGGCCGGUGGAUCAUGUGGAUUGGUCCAGAAUUCAGGUGUACGUUGGCGGGCUGGAAAUGCUCAUUUUUGUAAUUGGCAUGCUGAAAUGAGUUCAUACUACAUUGGUUAAAUUUCCAUCCAUGGGCCGGAAUAUAAGCUAGUUUGCACGCCGCUCACCGCAUCUUUAUAGAAUUGAUCCAUCAUCUUGCAUGUCAUCCUAUCUUUUUGCUUAUAUCACAUGAUUA
This 954-nucleotide long non-coding RNA is filed under the name Setaria viridis. RNAcentral's name for it is "long non-coding RNA (SVIR_LNC009830)". The record is from RNAcentral. Lineage: Eukaryota; Viridiplantae; Streptophyta; Magnoliopsida; Poales; Poaceae.